Molecule: transfer RNA, 72 nt
Filed under: Stegodyphus mimosarum
Lineage: Eukaryota; Metazoa; Arthropoda; Arachnida; Araneae; Eresidae
Rfam family: tRNA
About the family: Transfer RNA (tRNA) molecules are approximately 80 nucleotides in length. Their secondary structure includes four short double-helical elements and three loops (D, anti-codon, and T loops). Further hydrogen bonds mediate the characteristic L-shaped molecular structure. tRNAs have two regions of fundamental functional importance: the anti-codon, which is responsible for specific mRNA codon recognition, and the 3' end, to which the tRNAs corresponding amino acid is attached (by aminoacyl-tRNA synthetases). tRNAs cope with the degeneracy of the genetic code in two manners: having more than one tRNA (with a specific anti-codon) for a particular amino acid; and 'wobble' base-pairing, i.e. permitting non-standard base-pairing at the 3rd anti-codon position.
Source: Rfam by way of RNAcentral
GCUUUUGUGGUGUAACUGGAAAAACACUCGGCGCGUAUUCGAGAGGCCCAGGUUCAAAUCCUGGCGGGGGCA